RNAcentral lists this ribosomal RNA (465 nucleotides) under Vreelandella stevensii. Its description in RNAcentral is "partial 16S ribosomal RNA". It matches the Rfam family "Bacterial small subunit ribosomal RNA", at positions 338 to 795 of the family's 1533-position model. The record is from RNAcentral. Lineage: Bacteria; Pseudomonadati; Pseudomonadota; Gammaproteobacteria; Oceanospirillales; Halomonadaceae.
CCUACGGGGGGCUGCAGUGGGGAAUAUUGGACAAUGGGGGCAACCCUGAUCCAGCCAUGCCGCGUGUGUGAAGAAGGCCCUCGGGUUGUAAAGCACUUUCAGUGAGGAAGAACGCCUGGUGGUUAAUACCCAUCAGGAAAGACAUCACUCACAGAAGAAGCACCGGCUAACUCCGUGCCAGCAGCCGCGGUAAUACGGAGGGUGCGAGCGUUAAUCGGAAUUACUGGGCGUAAAGCGCGCGUAGGUGGCUUGAUAAGCCGGUUGUGAAAGCCCCGGGCUCAACCUGGGAACGGCAUCCGGAACUGUCAAGCUAGAGUGCAGGAGAGGAAGGUAGAAGUCCCGGUGUAGCGGUGAAAUGCGUAGAGAUCGGGAGGAAUACCAGUGGCGAAGGCGGCAUUCUGGACUGACACUGACACUGAGGUGCGAAAGCGUGGGUAGCAAACAGGAUUAGAUACCCUAGUAGUC